CUGAGUUUUUGAAUGCUCUGUCAGUACAGCAUGAAACUAUGUCAAAUUUUGGUCUGAUGACUUGCAUUUCUAAAUUUAGGGAUGUUCAUCACUAAAAAGCUAGAUAUCAAGCAAUUAUUUUUUUUUCAAUUCUAGUGACUCAAUGGGAUGAUCUACUACAGAGGAGAAGAGUUGGUACUUAUGCUGAUAGGCAGAAAGAGUGUACAGUGGAAUGCUGGAACCAUGAAAUAAUACAUUUUAAUACUUGAAAGAAGAAGAGGAUUUUUUAAGAAGGCAUAUUACCUCACUUUUGAAUAUCUAGAUGAUGAAUCUAAUUUAAUUGCAAGUAAAAAGAUUGCAUGAAAAAAGAACCCAGGAUAUAAUGGAAGGAUCUAAAACUCAAACUAUUUCCUUGACUCUUGGAAGCAUUCAUAUUAGAAGAAAAAUCUUGACUGAGUUUCAGAAUUUCAAAUGAAGAAAUAUUGAGUUGUAAGGAGUGUACUUAAGAGAAAAAAAAAACGAAUAUCUUCUAGGAAAAUCCUUUACAAUGAAAGGAACUUACA
Molecule: long non-coding RNA, 542 nt
Filed under: Monodelphis domestica (gray short-tailed opossum)
Lineage: Eukaryota; Metazoa; Chordata; Mammalia; Didelphimorphia; Didelphidae
Description: lncRNA (ENSMODG00000034425.2)
Source: RNAcentral